CCUACGGGUGGCAGCAGUGAGGAAUAUUGGACAAUGGUGGAAACCCUGAUCCAGCGACGCCGCGUGAGUGAGGAAGUAUUUCGGUACGUAAAGCUCUAUCAGCAGGAGAGCAAAUGACGGUACCUGACUAAGAAGCCCCGGCUAACUACGUGCCAGCAGCCGCGGUCAUACGUCGGGGGCCAGCGUUAUCCGGAUUUACUGGGUGUAAAGGGAGCGUAGACGGCAGCGCAAGUCUGGAGUGAAAUGCCGGGGCCCAACCCCGGAACUGCCGUGGAAACUGGGAAGCUGGAGUGGAGGAGAGGUAAGCGGAAUGCGCGGUGUAGCGGUGAAAUGCGUAGAUAUCAGGAGGAACACCGGCGGCGAAGGCGGCUUACUGGACUGUAACUGACGUUGAGGCACGAAGGCGUGGGGAGCAAACAGGAUUAGAUACCCGAGUAGUC
This 440-nucleotide ribosomal RNA is filed under the name uncultured bacterium. RNAcentral describes it as "partial 16S ribosomal RNA". It matches the Rfam family "Bacterial small subunit ribosomal RNA", at positions 338 to 795 of the family's 1533-position model. The record is from RNAcentral.